RNAcentral lists this transfer RNA (75 nucleotides) under Chelatococcus sambhunathii. RNAcentral's name for it is "tRNA_Gln_TTG". It matches the Rfam family "tRNA". From Rfam's summary of the family: Transfer RNA (tRNA) molecules are approximately 80 nucleotides in length. Their secondary structure includes four short double-helical elements and three loops (D, anti-codon, and T loops). RNAcentral also lists the same sequence under 16 other names. The record is from RNAcentral. Lineage: Bacteria; Pseudomonadati; Pseudomonadota; Alphaproteobacteria; Hyphomicrobiales; Chelatococcaceae.
UGGGGCGUCGCCAAGUGGUAAGGCAGCGGUUUUUGGUACCGCCAUUCGCAGGUUCGAAUCCUGCCGCCCCAGCCA